Molecule: long non-coding RNA, 2548 nt
Filed under: Anas platyrhynchos platyrhynchos (common mallard)
Lineage: Eukaryota; Metazoa; Chordata; Aves; Anseriformes; Anatidae
Description: lncRNA (ENSAPLG00000018404.1)
Source: RNAcentral
AUAAAUAUUUUAUUAAAGUUGAAGUUACAAAGAAGCACACCACAUUAAACUGAGAAUUAAGCUGAGGCACAUUUAUAUACUAUAAACUUAGUGUACAGGUUUGGAAGUGGCAAAAUCCCGUUAUCGAGUUCCUACACCAUGAAGUAGGCUUUUUAAAAGACAUAGUCCAGCUACACAGUCCUGGCAUGUGAGAAUUCCUGAGAAAAUCAAAGUUAUCAAAUAGCAGAAUUGGUCAGGGUUAGGAGGCUGAGACAUGGUGUCUCCUGCAGGAGAUCCCGUGUUUCUUAGCAGACGCUAAAGGAGGGGUAGGCACAUGCAUGACACAGCUCCAUCCACACCUGGACUCAGCACAGCUUUUCUUGGUGAAUGGCUCUUGGGAAAAAUAUCUGCUUGAUUUCAGCAAAACUUAAACAAGUAACCCUAGCUUCACUGAACAGUUAGGCAUAGAUGUAGGGGGAGGAUUUGGCCAGUGAUGGUCUGUCCUUCUCACCGGUGAACUCAUAAACAAACCAUCAAAAUGCAGUGUUUUGCCAAAAGGAAAGAUUUAGGAAUGAAACAUGAAAAUUACACCCAAGUGCUGUGGUUGUAGGCACACCUAUGCCCAUUUUUUGCACAGGAGAACUCACUCGAGGUUCCUUCCAGGAGCUCCUGCAGGUCCAGGUAAAUGAGAUAUUUGUUGCUUCUUCUCCUGGACGGCUGGGAACCUGAUUAUACACUGCUAAUGUUUGCUCUUUCAUUUCAGGACUUGGCUGCACUUCAGAAACAGAUGCCAUUUCUUAAUGGUCAAAAUGAUUUCUGCUGUCAAUCUGUAUGCACAGCUAGAAACAACACAACAGUGAGGUAGAGGCGUCCUGGUCUGAAAAUGAGAUGGGGAGCUUGGAAGUCCUACAGUGUGCUUUAUAUUCAGUUACAGGUGAUCUUGUCAGCACCUUCUAGAAGAAAGCUGGUCAGCAUCCUCCAAUGGUCAAGGACCAGGAAGGUUUCCAACAGGACAAGAUACACUUUGCUUUGCAAAGGCUGUUGGAAAAACAUUUCGUUUCUCAGCACCAAAGCCAGCAAGUGUUGGCAGAUUUGUAGCACAUCACGAUGGUGUGUGGUGGUUCCAAAGAACAAUGAGUACCUACAACACCUGAACGGGGUCAAGACUUACACCAUAGAUGAUGCACAACGGCUGCAUGAAAGAGCAGAGUGCUUCAACUAAACAAGAUAAAGACACUGCGAGCACUGCAUCACUGCUUUGAGUUUUCUCAUUCCUUCCUCUUGAUCGUGGUCCAUCUCAACCAUUGCUCAUUUCUCAUGAAAAGAGAAUGUAAUUUGGUUCAGUUUCAGUAAGUUUCAUGAAAAUUUUGUCCCCGUGUAGAUACCUCCAUCCAUCUAUUUUUAAUAGCAUGUUGAUUUUCUAUGUGCUGUGCCGCAGCAGGCAGGGUACAGCUGGAACUCCUUUUCAGUAGAAAUCCGUGCUCAAGGCCUUUAGAAACUGUCAUGCUUUGAGGACACACAGAGAUGACAUCUCUGAGAGAUGUCCUGUUCUGGUCAAAGCCAGCUGCCUCAAGGGAGGCCAAGAGCCCCAGCUCUGUGGUGGACAACAGGCAGGGCAGGAAGACAACUCCACCAACACCCAGCUGUUGGUUUCACAGUGACCAGUGAUGUGGGACUGGUGGCUACAAAAUAAUCUUUAUAGGAACAGGAAUUCAACUCCUGCUUUGACCUAUCAGUUAUGCUAAGACUAUACUAAGAUGGAGCGCAGAUUACUCCAGACAGAUGUCCUCUUUCUGUCAAUUACUUGCAAAUAUGCAGACUUUCAUGGUGUGCUGGUAAAAACUUUUUAGCCCUAUCUGUACUAACUCUUAAAUCAUUACUGCAGAGCACAGUUGUGGCUUUUUGUUGUUGUUGAUGUUGUUUGUUUUGUUUUUCUUCUGAAUAGAAAAAGAUCUCGGAUAGCCAGGUGAUAACCUUGAUGGAGAAAGACACUAUGGCGUAAAAGAUCUAAAAUGGAUUAGUGACAUGCACUGCCCAACAGAGAUAUCAGCCUGAGCCAUGUUAAUGAACACCUUUACAAAUCUCUUUUAAAAUUGUUUAAUGCCAUAAAGAUUACUGGUUAGAUGAGCCCUAGAGCUCUUUCAAGAUGCCCAUUAUUGUACUAUUGGAUUGCAUGCAUAUUUAAAUUAAAUUGCAUUUUAAGUUCUGGCACAUUUGCCUGUUAAACAUUUACACAUUUGAGAUUUUAACAGCCCUGUUUUUUUGCUGUAUGGAGUAAAAAGGGUAGCUGGGGGACUUUGGACAACUACACUGAACUUUAAACAUAUGGAUGUGGGCAGGGAGGGUCUGCUGUCAUUAUUCUCUGCUUUCUCUGGUUAACAAAUAUGGUUUUGGAUUCAGCAGUAGCCACCAGUUUCUUGAGAGGUCAGGGGCUUAAAGCUUGUCUCGGUAAAAGACGCUCUGUUAAGUUACUGCAUAUUGUCCAUUUGUUAGUUUUGUUUAUGCACAUCUCUAGACCUUAAGAUGUCAGACAUGACUAGUUUCAUAAAUAAACUACCUGUUCUAUUCA